GAGUUUGAUCAUGGCUCAGGACGAACGCUGGCGGCGUGCCUAAUACAUGCAAGUCGAACGAACUCUGGUAUUGAUUGGUGCUUGCAUCAUGAUUUACAUUUGAGUGAGUGGCGAACUGGUGAGUAACACGUGGGAAACCUGCCCAGAAGCGGGGGAUAACACCUGGAAACAGACGCUAAUACCGCAUAACAACUUGGACCGCAUGGUCCGAGUUUGAAAGAUGGCUUCGGCUAUCACUUCUGGAUGGUCCCGCGGCGUAUUAGCUAGAUGGUGAGGUAACGGCUCACCAUGGCAAUGAUACGUAGCCGACCUGAGAGGGUAAUCGGCCACAUUGGGACUGAGACACGGCCCAAACUCCUACGGGAGGCAGCAGUAGGGAAUCUUCCACAAUGGACGAAAGUCUGAUGGAGCAACGCCGCGUGAGUGAAGAAGGGUUUCGGCUCGUAAAACUCUGUUGUUAAAGAAGAACAUAUCUGAGAGUAACUGUUCAGGUAUUGACGGUAUUUAACCAGAAAGCCACGGCUAACUACGUGCCAGCAGCCGCGGUAAUACGUAGGUGGCAAGCGUUGUCCGGAUUUAUUGGGCGUAAAGCGAGCGCAGGCGGUUUUUUAAGUCUGAUGUGAAAGCCUUCGGCUCAACCGAAGAAGUGCAUCGGAAACUGGGAAACUUGAGUGCAGAAGAGGACAGUGGAACUCCAUGUGUAGCGGUGAAAUGCGUAGAUAUAUGGAAGAACACCAGUGGCGAAGGCGGCUGUCUGGUCUGUAACUGACGCUGAGGCUCGAAAGUAUGGGUAGCAAACAGGAUUAGAUACCCUGGUAGUCCAUACCGUAAACGAUGAAUGCUAAGUGUUGGAGGGUUUCCGCCCUUCAGUGCUGCAGCUAACGCAUUAAGCAUUCCGCCUGGGGAGUACGGCCGCAAGGCUGAAACUCAAAGGAAUUGACGGGGGCCCGCACAAGCGGUGGAGCAUGUGGUUUAAUUCGAAGCUACGCGAAGAACCUUACCAGGUCUUGACAUACUAUGAAAAUCUAAGAGAUUAGACGUUCCCUUCGGGGACAUGGAUACAGGUGGUGCAUGGUUGUCGUCAGCUCGUGUCGUGAGAUGUUGGGUUGAGUCCCGCAACGAGCGCAACCCUUAUUAUCAGUUGCCAGCAUUAAGUUGGGCACUCUGGUGAGACUGCCGGUGACAAACCGGAGGAAGGUGGGGAUGACGUCAAAUCAUCAUGCCCCUUAUGACCUGGGCUACACACGUGCUACAAUGGAUGGUACAACGAGUUGCGAACUCGCGAGAGUAAGCUAAUCUCUUAAAGCCAUUCUCAGUUCGGAUUGUAGGCUGCAACUCGCCUACAUGAAGUCGGAAUCGCUAGUAAUCGCGGAUCAGCAUGCCGCGGUGAAUACGUUCCCGGGCCUUGUACACACCGCCCGUCACACCAUGAGAGUUUGUAACACCCAAAGUCGGUGGGGUAACCUUUUAGGAACCAGCCGCCUAAGGUGGGACAGAUGAUUAGGGUGAAGUCGUAACAAGGUAACC
RNAcentral lists this ribosomal RNA (1527 nucleotides) under Lactiplantibacillus plantarum. RNAcentral's name for it is "bacterial SSU rRNA". It matches the Rfam family "Bacterial small subunit ribosomal RNA". Lineage: Bacteria; Bacillati; Bacillota; Bacilli; Lactobacillales; Lactobacillaceae. The record is from RNAcentral.